This is a long non-coding RNA of Microtus ochrogaster (prairie vole), 1902 nucleotides long. RefSeq lists it as uncharacterized. Lineage: Eukaryota; Metazoa; Chordata; Mammalia; Rodentia; Cricetidae. The transcript has 3 exons. The record is from RefSeq and is a predicted model, not a curated record.
AAGGGUUUUUUUUUUCCCAGUUCAAAAUUUCAGGUAGAAAUUGAUUUUCUCGUUUCUUUCUACUGUGGGGUUUAAAAAGGUUCCCGGUUAUUGUUUCCAUGCAUUAUUCUUGCGAUCACAUUACAUUUUGAAGAGAAGAAACUGGCUCAUCAACAGCAUAAUUUGCUAUGAAGAAGGAAGAGGCAAGGCCUUUAACUUCUGGGGAAAAAUCCCUUUCUCAAGCUGCACACUCUGACAGUGAUGCUGUUAGCUUUCUUUGUGACAACAGAAAGAAGAGUUCGAAAACAGAACUCCAGUGUUCAAUAGAUUUGUUUUUCAUUUUGUUGGGACAGGAUUUUCCCCACAAUCACUACUUCCUAUCUAUUAGAAGGGUUUUAGUUAAACAUUAAGUCAAUGAUGUUUUUUCUUCAGCAGGAAAACUUCUCUGCCCAAAGCAUGUCAUAGUCUUAUAUUUUCUACCAUCUCUCACUGAAGCAUGGAUUCAACGGAGCAACAAGGAUAUUAGGAUAGAAGCCAGGAAGUAAAGGUCAGACUCAAGACACAGACUUUAUUAUAUGGUUCUUCCAGCAGUCUGAUGCAUGACUUACAAAUCAUGUUUGCAGUCCAACUACAACUAACUACUAUUUAAAAUUAAAUUCACUUCUGCCUGCAUUUCCUGACUCGGAGGUUUAUGCUGUUGCUUUAAUUUUAUUUGAAUUUCAGUCUUCUGAAUUAGUUCUAUUUCCUAUCUCUUUAUCUUCAUUUGCCUGGAUGCAGUUGAAAAUACACUAGGGCAAAAUAAAAUUCUUAGUCACCAUCCUGUACGACUCUUCAAAAUUUCUAACAUGUGUAACGUUACCAAGCCGUGAUCGGCUUAGCUAACUGGCCACUUUCUCUGUACCGCAGAAUAAAAGUAAUAAUCUCAACAGAAAGUCGGGAUCUCUCUUACCCGAUUUUUCACAGAUCCAUUAAAAGAUACAUCAGACAAAAGGUAAGACAUUUCUAACUUCUUCACAGUAGGGACUGUCCAUUGGAAAUGAGCAGUUGCACAGUACACGUUCUAUCUUUGCGUGGGGAGAAAAUAAAUGUAACGGUACCUUUUAUUUUAAAAUGAUUUAAUUUCUGCUUUCACUUUUCUGCAGAACUGCGAAAGAGUAAUUUUGCUGGAUAUCCACUUAUUCCAAUUCAGCCAUUUGCAGACAGUAUGAGAAUUCUGGUGGGGUUGUUGACCCCUCUUUGCUCUGUGACAAUGCAAGCCUGCCUCUGUUUUAACCACAGUUAUAGGGAUGCUUUGCAUCUGCUUCCUGCUCAGAUGCUGAGGAACAGGAAUGACAGUCUGAGAGUUGUGUGACAGGAAAGAAAAAUAAAUAGACCCGAAGGAGAAGGAUCUGGACUGCCCCACCUGGACCUCAGGUGAAAACAGCAAAGUCUGGAGUGAGCAAAUACAAGUCCUGGUCUCCAAGGAUCUACUCUACCUGCUCUGAAAAUGUAUAAAAUUAUUAUUGUAAGAGAGAAAUAAACAUCUAUCCCUUUAAGGACCAUUAUUUCAAGACCCCACUUCAGCAGCUACAAUGAUGUAACUGCUACAGUUAGUAAUUAAUAGUUUAGUUGUAUUGCUACCAAGAAAUAUGAAAUCUAUAAAAUGCAUGUCCUAGUUCUAUGUAAAAUAUGCUAUUUUAUCUGUCUAAGAAAUUAUAAAGUUUUAUGAGUAUUUACUACUGUUUUUAUAAAUUUUCUAUUAGAUAACUGUAUGCUGUCUUAAUUUAUAUAUAUAUACAUACAUACAUGCAUGCAUACAUACAUACACACAUGUUAUUCAAUGCACAUUAUUAGUCAUGUUAUACUUUGCAUAUCAUGCUCAACAGCGUGGUAUAGAAUACUGAUGAGUUUCCAUCAAAAUAAAAAUGUUUCAUGUUCCCUUUA